Molecule: ribosomal RNA, 406 nt
Filed under: uncultured bacterium
Lineage: Bacteria
Description: partial 16S ribosomal RNA
Rfam family: Bacterial small subunit ribosomal RNA
Source: RNAcentral
AUUGAACGCUGGCGGCAGGCCUAACACAUGCAAGUCGAACGAGUGGCGGACGGGUGAGUAAUGUCUGUGAAACUGCCCGAUGGAGGGGGAUAACUACUGGAAACGGUAGCUCAUACCGCAUACCAUCGGAUGUGCCCAGAUGGGAUUAGCUAGGAGGUGGGGUAACGGCUCACCUAGGCGACGAUCCCUAGCUGGUCUGAGAGGAUGACCAGUCACACUGGAACUGAGAAACGGUCCAUACUCCUACGGGAGGCAGCAGGGGGGAAUAGUGCACAAUGGGCGCAAGCCUGAUGCAGCCAUGCCGCGUGUAUGAAGAAGGCCUUCGGGUUGUAAAGUACUUUAAGCGGGGAGGCGUUACCCGCAGAAGAAGCACCGGCUAACUCCGUGCCAGCAGCCGCGGUAAUUC